UCCGGACUGGUGUAAUGGCUAACAUCGCUGUCUCUCAUACCAUUCCAAUCAGGAAUAUAUGGGCAGAGUUUCACAGCAGCUCGGGGUUCGAUUCCCCGGUCCGGAA
This is a non-coding RNA of Lithohypha guttulata, 106 nucleotides long. NCBI's taxonomy places the organism in Eukaryota, Fungi, Ascomycota, Eurotiomycetes, Chaetothyriales, Trichomeriaceae. The record is from the annotation of a RefSeq genome assembly.